RNAcentral lists this ribosomal RNA (465 nucleotides) under Vreelandella stevensii. RNAcentral's name for it is "partial 16S ribosomal RNA". It matches the Rfam family "Bacterial small subunit ribosomal RNA", at positions 338 to 795 of the family's 1533-position model. Lineage: Bacteria; Pseudomonadati; Pseudomonadota; Gammaproteobacteria; Oceanospirillales; Halomonadaceae. The record is from RNAcentral.
CCUACGGGUGGCAGCAGUGGGGAAUAUUGGACAAUGGGGGCAACCCUGAUCCAGCCAUGCCGCGUGUGUGAAGAAGGCCCUCGGGUUGUAAAGCACUUUCAGUGAGGAAGAACGCCUGGUGGUUAAUACCCAUCAGGAAAGACAUCACUCACAGAAGAAGCACCGGCUAACUCCGUGCCAGCAGCCGCGGUAAUACGGAGGGUGCGAGCGUUAAUCGGAAUUACUGGGCGUAAAGCGCGCGUAGGUGGCUUGAUAAGCCGGUUGUGAAAGCCCCGGGCUCAACCUGGGAACGGCAUCCGGAACUGUCAAGCUAGAGAGCAGGAGAGGAAGGUAGAAUUCCCGGUGUAGCGGUGAAAUGCGUAGAGAUCGGGAGGAAUAACAGUGGCGAAGGCGGCCUUCUGGACUGACACUGACACUGAGGUGCGAAAGCGUGGGUAGCAAACAGGAUUAGAUACCCUAGUAGUC